UACGUAGGUGGCAAGCGUUGUCCGGAUUUACUGGGCGUAAAGGGUGCGUAGGCGGAUUUUUAAGUGGGAUGUGAAAUACCCGGGCUCAACUUGGGUGCUGCAUUCCAAACUGGAAAUCUAGAGUGCAGGAGAGGAGAAUGGAAUUCCUAGUGUAGCGGUGAAAUGCGUAGAGAUUAGGAAGAACACCAGUGGCGAAGGCGAUUCUCUGGACUGUAACUGACGCUGAGGCACGAAAGCGUGGGUAGCAAAC
RNAcentral lists this ribosomal RNA (250 nucleotides) under uncultured bacterium. Its description in RNAcentral is "partial 16S ribosomal RNA". It matches the Rfam family "Bacterial small subunit ribosomal RNA", at positions 524 to 773 of the family's 1533-position model. The record is from RNAcentral.